GACGAACGCUGGCGGCGUGCUUAACACAUGCAAGUCGAACGGAAAGGCCCUGCUUUUGUGGGGUGCUCGAGUGGCGAACGGGUGAGUAACACGUGAGUAACCUGCCCUUGACUUUGGGAUAACUUCAGGAAACUGGGGCUAAUACCGGAUAGGAGCUCCUGCUGCAUGGUGGGGGUUGGAAAGUUUCGGCGGUGGGGGAUGGACUCGCGGCUUAUCAGCUUGUUGGUGGGGUAGUGGCUUACCAAGGCUUUGACGGGUAGCCGGCCUGAGAGGGUGACCGGCCACAUUGGGACUGAGGUACGGCACAGGCUCCUACGGGAGGCAGCAGUGGGGAAGAUUGCACCAUGGGCGGAAGCCUGAUGCAGCAACGCCGCGUGCGGGAUGGCGGUCUUCGGGUUGUAGACCGCUUUCGCCUGUGACGAAGCGUGAGUGACGGUAAUGGGUAAAGAAGCACCGGCUAACUACGUG
RNAcentral lists this ribosomal RNA (468 nucleotides) under uncultured bacterium. Its description in RNAcentral is "partial 16S ribosomal RNA". It matches the Rfam family "Bacterial small subunit ribosomal RNA", at positions 28 to 507 of the family's 1533-position model. The record is from RNAcentral.